GUUUAGUCUUUCUUGUAGUAUAGGUUUUGUUAUUAAAGCUAGCGUUUUGUUUCAUUAACCUGCGGACUGGUCUCCUGUAUUUGGGUCCUCCUUUCAAACCCUGGUGCUGCAUCAGGAUCACUGAAGACAAACACUUCAGCGGUUAACGUUACUCAUGAACUUUGUUUUCAAGUAAUGCGAUCAUCAUUGGUUCAUGUAAUUGAUAGGCGGGGCCAUCCACUUGGGUUGAGUGGGAGCACCUGGGCCCAAUGCUCCCACUCACUACAUAAGCUACCACCUUGGUCCUCUCAGAGACUUCUUUAUUUUUUUUUUCACCAACACCCGCACACCAUCCCACACAUCCACUCACUGACAUGGCUGGCUUUACUGCCAUCCACAUCUCUUUUGCAACUUAGUUGUUGUUUUUUUGUAAAUAAAUCAGUUAAUUUUA
Molecule: long non-coding RNA, 430 nt
Organism: Perca fluviatilis (European perch)
Lineage: Eukaryota; Metazoa; Chordata; Actinopteri; Perciformes; Percidae
Exons: 2
Source: RefSeq, a predicted model, not a curated record